RNAcentral lists this ribosomal RNA (853 nucleotides) under uncultured archaeon. Its description in RNAcentral is "bacterial SSU rRNA". It matches the Rfam family "Archaeal small subunit ribosomal RNA", at positions 85 to 921 of the family's 1478-position model. The record is from RNAcentral.
ACGGCUCAGUAACACGUGGCUAACCUACCCUUAGGACGGGGACAACCCCGGGAAACUGGGGCUAAUAUCUGAUAGGUGAGGAGGCCUGGAAUGGUUCCUCCCUGAAAAGGCGUUGAAACCAUGCUUUUCAGCGUCGCCUAAGGAUGGGGCCGCGUCCGAUCAGGUUGUUGGUGGGGUAACGGCUCACCAAGCCAUUAACCGGUACGGGCCGUGAGAGCGGGAGCCCGGAGAUGGGCACUGAGACAAGGGCCCAGGCCCUACGGGGCGCAGCAGUCGCGAAAACUCCGCAAUGCGCGAAAGCGUGACGGGGCUACCCCGAGUGCCGUCCGCUGAGGAUGGCUUUUCCCCGGUGUAAUGAGCCGGGGGAAUAAGGAGAGGGCAAGACUGGUGUCAGCCGCCGCGGUAAUACCAGCUCUCCGAGUGGUAGGGACAAUUAUUGGGCUUAAAGCGUCCGUAGCCGGCUUAGCAAGUCUUCUGUUAAAUUCAGCGACUUAAUCGUUGAGCCGCGGGAGAUACUACUAGGCUAGGAGGCGGGAGAGGCCGACGGUAUUCCCGGGGUAGGGGUGAAAUCCUAUAAUCCCGGGAGGACCACCAGUGGCGAAGGCUGUCAGCUAGAACGCGCUCGACGGUGAGGGACGAAAGCUGGGGGAGCGAACCGGAUUAGAUACCCGGGUAGUCCCAGCCGUAAACGAUGCGGGCUAGGUGUUGAGGUGGCUACGAGCCACUUCAGUGCCGCAGGGAAGCCAUUAAGCCCGCCGCCUGGGGAGUACGGCCGCAAGGCUGAAACUUAAAGGAAUUGGCGGGGGAGCACCACAAGGCGUGAAGCUUGCGGUUCAAUUGGAGUCAACGCCGG